CCUACGGGAGGCAGCAGUGGGGAAUAUUGCACAAUGGGGGAAACCCUGAUGCAGCGACGCCGCGUGAGUGAAGAAGUAACUCGUUAUGUAAAGCUCUAUCUGCAGGGAAGAAAAUGACGGUACCUGAGUAAGAAGCCCCGGCUAACUACGUGCCAGCAGCCGCGGUAAGACGUAGGGGGCCAGCGUUAUCCGGAUUUACUGGGUGUAAAGGGAGCGUAGACGGCAGUGCAAGUCUGGAGUGAAAGGCGGGGGCUCAACCCCCGGACUGCCCUGGAAACUGUACGGCUGGAGUGCAGGAGAGGUAAGUGGAAUUCCUAGUGUAGCGGUGAAAUGCGUAGAUAUUAGGAGGAACACCAGUGGCGAAGGCAGCUUACUGGACUGUAACUGACGUUGAGGCUCGAAAGCGUGGGGAGCAAACAGGAUUAGAUACCCUGGUAGUC
RNAcentral lists this ribosomal RNA (440 nucleotides) under uncultured bacterium. RNAcentral describes it as "partial 16S ribosomal RNA". It matches the Rfam family "Bacterial small subunit ribosomal RNA", at positions 338 to 795 of the family's 1533-position model. The record is from RNAcentral.